UCCAUAACCCGGUCAAUUAAACAACACCAAAUUUAUCUCGAAACGAUCCAACAGUGUUCAGCCCUUAGGUAAUCUGUUGUUUAACUUCCUCUCUUGCUCUCUCUAAUCAAAACAUUCUAAUGUUUACCUACCACCCUACAUGGGCACAUUCGAUAAUAACCUUUCUAACUAUUUGUUCUCCAAUCGUACUCGUGGUUAUAAACUUCCCUAAGCCGGACUCUCUAACAACAGUGCCUCCAGUUCUAUCAGUUCUACUCCGUUCGGACGUUUUGACUAGUAUAAAUUUAGUACGUCGUUCUGUUAUGGUGAUUUAUACGACAACUUGAAUUA
This 330-nucleotide ribosomal RNA is filed under the name Triticum aestivum (bread wheat). Its description in RNAcentral is "partial small subunit ribosomal RNA". The record is from RNAcentral. Lineage: Eukaryota; Viridiplantae; Streptophyta; Magnoliopsida; Poales; Poaceae.